UACUUCCUAGCUGUCUUGGCGAGUAUUUGUUUACAGGCGGCCAUGUUGGAUGUUUUUAAGCUUAUCCUUCUUUGAAAGGCUGGAUAGACCAUUUUACGAAAAAUUUACGCACCUUGCAAAGUUUGUUUUCGUGCACAGAAAGAUAUAUCAUGCAAAAUGGAAAUCACAUGGAUCAAAGUUGUGACAAGCAGCAGUGUUUGGAGCAGUCUUUCAGGUUUCACCAGCUAUGCUCUACUCCAAGGAAGUUAAAACAAGACCGAACAUACAAGUUUGCCGACAGUCAGUGAGAGGAAAAAAUGGACGAAUGCCCAAAGAUUGAAGUGAUGUGAAAGCCAAAUGUCGUUGCUCCUCAAUUUACUUGAGCCCUGAUUUACCAGAAGCAAGUGGUGUUGCAAAAUGACCAAUGUUUCUUCGACCACUUAAAGCACGAUACCAAGAAACACGAUCACCUUAAGCCUGGGCUAGAGAAAAGUAUAAAUUUUGGGAAGAAAGCAAAAUUGGAUCGACCCCCAAAUCAGAGAAUAAAAAAAAUGGGGUUCGAUUCUUUGACCAUUUCCCCUCUACCCACCUGCCUCUCUGAGGCAUUUUCUAAAAGUUAAAUACCUUAGAGGGAAACCAAAAACGGUUAACCUUUCAUCAUGCCCUACUACACCCGACCUUUUCUGUCUACCUUUUGAUACAAAUGUCCUUUGAUAUGAUCAACUCAUAUUACAGUACAGUGAUAUUACAAUACAAUCUUCUAAUAUAUUACACUAUAUAUUAUAAUACUAUAUAUUACUUCCUGAUUACAAUCUUUUAAUACAGUUGUUAAUACAGUGUUUUUUUUUCAUCCAUCCAACCUCCCCCACCGCACCCACCUCUCACAGGCAGUUUUAUAAAGUACUUGCAAAAGUUGUCUACUUUGUGGUGUUAAUAUUUAUUUCAAACGCAUGCGUUUGUGUAACCAAACGUCUGUCUUAAUACACAUGCGUAUUACGAAGAUUUCGUUACCACUAUACAAAACUAUUUUUAUUAGGACUGAAAAAAAACUCGUUAUUGGAGCUGGUGUGGUGGUGGGUUGUAAGACCUCCAAUUUAAGCCUUCUUGUCGAGGAUGAUCUUGGUUUUUGAGAUGGCCAUUAUUUCAUGAAACCUGUGAAGAGAUGGAGAAUAAAUUCGAAUAAGACAAAAUGUAA
RNAcentral lists this long non-coding RNA (1174 nucleotides) under Pocillopora damicornis (cauliflower coral). Its description in RNAcentral is "uncharacterized LOC113682500, transcript variant X3". The record is from RNAcentral. Lineage: Eukaryota; Metazoa; Cnidaria; Anthozoa; Scleractinia; Pocilloporidae.